GAUGAAGAACGCAGCGAAAUGCGAUAAGUAAUGUGAAUUGCAGAAUUCAGUGAAUCAUCGAAUCUUUGAACGCACAUUGCGCCCGCCAGUAUUCUGGCGGGCAUGCCUGUUCGAGCGUCAUUUCAACCAUCAAGCCCCAGGCUUGUGUUGGGGACCUGCGGCUGCCGCAGGCCCUGAAAACCAGUGGCGGGCUCGCUAGUCACACCGAGCGUAGUAGCAUACACCUCGCCCAGGGCGUGCCGCGGGUUCCCGGCCGUUAAACCCCCCCAUACCACAAGGUUGACCUCGGAUCAGGUAGGAAGACCCGCUGAACUUAAGCAUAUCAAUAAGCGGAGGA
This 337-nucleotide unclassified non-coding RNA is filed under the name soil metagenome. Its description in RNAcentral is "partial contains 5.8S ribosomal RNA, internal transcribed spacer 2, and large subunit ribosomal RNA". The stretch from base 1 to 120 matches the Rfam family "5.8S ribosomal RNA", at positions 35 to 154 of the family's 154-position model. The record is from RNAcentral.